Molecule: non-coding RNA, 232 nt
Filed under: Hespellia stercorisuis DSM 15480
Lineage: Bacteria; Bacillati; Bacillota; Clostridia; Lachnospirales; Lachnospiraceae
Source: RNAcentral
UAAGUCCUGCAUGGCAAAGUCUAACCAACAGCCAUUACCUAGUCCUUGGAUGCGAAGUGGUAACAUCAGCAUUAAGCGUAGGGCGGGGAACAUCAGAGCCAGAAUUAAUAUAUGAAGCCAUACAGCCCCGAAAUCAUCAGUUGGGAGAGCCGAUUCCGUUGAACUCGAAGCAGGCAGAAAUGUUGGAUUCGUUAUGGUAAGAAUACAGCAGACUUCCCGGGGUCUCAGGGAC